RNAcentral lists this ribosomal RNA (516 nucleotides) under uncultured Glomus. RNAcentral describes it as "SSU rRNA". It matches the Rfam family "Eukaryotic small subunit ribosomal RNA", at positions 569 to 1087 of the family's 1831-position model. The record is from RNAcentral. Lineage: Eukaryota; Fungi; Glomeromycota; Glomeromycetes; Glomerales; Glomeraceae.
AGCAGCCGCGGUAAUUCCAGCUCCAAUAGCGUAUAUUAAAGUUGUUGCGGUUAAAAAGCUCGUAGUUGAAUUUCGGGGCCAGUAGGUCGGUCGUGCCACUGGUAUGCACUGGUCUCACUGGUCCCUCCUUCUUGUAGAACCGUGAUGGCAUUAAUUUGUUGUUGCGGGGAAACAGGACUGUUACUUUGAAAAAUUAGAGUGCUUAAAGCAGGCUCGCGCUUGAAUACAUUAGCAUGGAAUAACGAAAUAGGACGAUCGAACCUAUUUUGUUGGUUUCUAGGAUCGACGUAAUGAUUAAUAGGGAUAGUUGGGGGCAUUAGUAUUCAAUUGUCAGAGGUGAAAUUCUUGGAUUUAUUGAAGACUAACUACUGCGAAAGCAUUUGCCAAGGAUGUUUUCAUUAAUCAAGAACGAAGGUUAGGGGAUCGAAGACGAUCAGAUACCGUCGUAGUCUUAACCAUAAACUAUGCCGACUAGGGAUCGGAUGAUGUUAAUUUUUAAUGUACUCAUUCGGCGCC